GACGAACGCUGGCGGCGUGCCUAAUACAUGCAAGUAGAACGCUGAAGAGAGGAGCUUGCUCUUCUUGGAUGAGUUGCGAACGGGUGAGUAACGCGUAGGUAACCUGCCUUGUAGCGGGGGAUAACUAUUGGAAACGAUAGCUAAUACCGCAUAACAAUGGAUGACACAUGUCAUUUAUUUGAAAGGGGCAAUUGCUCCACUACAAGAUGGACCUGCGUUGUAUUAGCUAGUAGGUGAGGUAACGGCUCACCUAGGCGACGAUACAUAGCCGACCUGAGAGGGUGAUCGGCCACACUGGGACUGAGACACGGCCCAGACUCCUACGGGAGGCAGCAGUAGGGAAUCUUCGGCAAUGGGGGCAACCCUGACCGAGCAACGCCGCGUGAGUGAAGAAGGUUUUCGGAUCGUAAAGCUCUGUUGUAAGUCAAGAACGAGUGUGAGAGUGGAAAGUUCACACUGUGACGGUAGCUUACCAGAAAGGGACGGCUAACUACGUGCCAGCAGCCGCGGUAAUACGUAGGUCCCGAGCGUUGUCCGGAUUUAUUGGGCGUAAAGCGAGCGCAGGCGGUUUGAUAAGUCUGAAGUUAAAGGCUGUGGCUCAACCAUAGUUCGCUUUGGAAACUGUCAAACUUGAGUGCAGAAGGGGAGAGUGGAAUUCCAUGUGUAGCGGUGAAAUGCGUAGAUAUAUGGAGGAACACCGGUGGCGAAAGCGGCUCUCUGGUCUGUAACUGACGCUGAGGCUCGAAAGCGUGGGGAGCGAACAGGAUUAGAUACCCUGGUAGUCCACGCCGUAAACGAUGAGUGCUAGGUGUUGGAUCCUUUCCGGGAUUCAGUGCCGCAGCUAACGCAUUAAGCACUCCGCCUGGGGAGUACGACCGCAAGGUUGAAACUCAAAGGAAUUGACGGGGGCCCGCACAAGCGGUGGAGCAUGUGGUUUAAUUCGAAGCAACGCGAAGAACCUUACCAGGUCUUGACAUCCCGAUGCUAUUUCUAGAGGUAGAAAGUUACUUCGGUACAUCGGUGACAGGUGGUGCAUGGUUGUCGUCAGCUCGUGUCGUGAGAUGUUGGGUUAAGUCCCGCAACGAGCGCAACCCCUAUUGUUAGUUGCCAUCAUUCAGUUGGGCACUCUAGCGAGACUGCCGGUAAUAAACCGGAGGAAGGUGGGGAUGACGUCAAAUCAUCAUGCCCCUUAUGACCUGGGCUACACACGUGCUACAAUGGUUGGUACAACGAGUUGCGAGUCGGUGACGGCAAGCUAAUCUCUUAAAGCCAAUCUCAGUUCGGAUUGUAGGCUGCAACUCGCCUACAUGAAGUCGGAAUCGCUAGUAAUCGCGGAUCAGCACGCCGCGGUGAAUACGUUCCCGGGCCU
This 1369-nucleotide ribosomal RNA is filed under the name uncultured bacterium. RNAcentral describes it as "bacterial SSU rRNA". It matches the Rfam family "Bacterial small subunit ribosomal RNA", at positions 28 to 1381 of the family's 1533-position model. The record is from RNAcentral.